AUCCAGCUGACGAGUCCCAAAUAGGACAUGGUGACGCGCGUCCUGGAU
Schistosoma mansoni is the source of this 48-nucleotide non-coding RNA. Lineage: Eukaryota; Metazoa; Platyhelminthes; Trematoda; Strigeidida; Schistosomatidae. The record is from Rfam.